This 365-nucleotide long non-coding RNA is filed under the name Notechis scutatus (mainland tiger snake). RNAcentral describes it as "lncRNA (ENSNSUG00000012125.1)". The record is from RNAcentral. Lineage: Eukaryota; Metazoa; Chordata; Lepidosauria; Squamata; Elapidae.
GUUUGUAAACCAUCUCUAUUUUCAGUUUGAUUUAAACAUUGUUUCCUCGCUUUGUCUGAUUCUGCCACCCCCUUUUUUGUCCUCCCUUCUGACAAGCAGUCUUCCCAGUCCACAGAGGGCGAUGACAUCUCCAUCCGAAGCCAAGCCUCCUCGUGUGCCACAGAAGAUGCCUCCGAAGACGCCAUGUCUGUCCGCUCCGAGAUGAUCCAGAGAAAAGGCUCCACUUUCCGACCACACGACUCCUUUCUGAAACCACCCGGGAAGGGAGAAAAGAGGCGGAGGGAGAGGAGGACCACUGUCCUGGGGCUGCCCCAACACGUGCAGCAGGAGCUGGGUAAGCGGCUGGCCUUGCACAAACCGGGUGG